GUCGAGCGGACUGAAGGGAGCUUGCUCCCGGACGUUAGCGGCGGACGGGUGAGUAACACGUAGGCAACCUGCCUUGUAGACUGGGAUAACUUCGGGAAACCGGAGCUAAUACCGGAUGUUAGAUGAAUCGCGCAUGCGUUUUAUCUUAAAGUUGGCCUCGGCUAACACUACAAGAUGGGCCUGCGGCGCAUUAGCUAGUUGGUAAGGUAGUGGCUUACCAAGGCGACGAUGCGUAGCCGACCUGAGAGGGUGAUCGGCCACACUGGGACUGAGACACGGCCCAGACUCCUACGGGAGGCAGCAGUAGGGAAUCUUCCGCAAUGGACGAAAGUCUGACGGAGCAACGCCGCGUGAGCGAUGAAGGCCUUCGGGUCGUAAAGCUCUGUUGUUAGGGAAGAACAAGUGCCGUUCGAAUAGGUCGGCACCUUGACGGUACCUAACCAGAAAGCCACGGCUAACUACGUGCCAGCAGCCGCGGUAAUACGUAGGUGGCAAGCGUUGUCCGGAAUUAUUGGGCGUAAAGCGCGCGCAGCGGUCUUUUAAGUCUGAUGUGAAAGCCCACGGCUCAACCGUGGAGGGUCAUUGGAAAACUGGGAGACUUGAGUACAGAGAGAGAGUGGAAUUCCACGUGUAGCG
RNAcentral lists this ribosomal RNA (636 nucleotides) under uncultured Bacillaceae bacterium. RNAcentral describes it as "bacterial SSU rRNA". It matches the Rfam family "Bacterial small subunit ribosomal RNA", at positions 61 to 680 of the family's 1533-position model. The record is from RNAcentral. Lineage: Bacteria; Bacillati; Bacillota; Bacilli; Caryophanales; Bacillaceae.